This 402-nucleotide ribosomal RNA is filed under the name bacterium. Its description in RNAcentral is "partial 16S ribosomal RNA". It matches the Rfam family "Bacterial small subunit ribosomal RNA", at positions 355 to 776 of the family's 1533-position model. The record is from RNAcentral.
UGGGGAAUUUUGCACAAUGGGGGAAACCCUGAUGCAGCGACGCCGCGUGAUUUAGAAGGCCUUCGGGUUGUAAAAAUCUUUUCUAUGGGAAGAAAAUGACAGUACCAUAGGAAUAAGGACCGGCUAAUUACGUGCCAGCAGCCGCGGUAAUACGUAAGGUCCGAGCGUUGUCCGGAAUCAUUGGGCGUAAAGGGUACGUAGGCGGGUAAGCAAGUUAGAAGUGAAAUCCUAUAGCUCAACUAUAGUAAGCUUUUAAAACUGCUCAUCUUGAGUUAUGGAAGGGAAAGUGGAAUUCCUAGUGUAGCGGUGAAAUGCGCAGAUAUUAGGAGAAAUGCCGGUGGCGAAGGCGACUUUCUGGCCAUAACCUGACGCUGAGGUACGAAAGCGUGGGUAGCAAACAGG